Molecule: ribosomal RNA, 301 nt
Filed under: uncultured bacterium
Lineage: Bacteria
Description: partial 16S ribosomal RNA
Rfam family: Bacterial small subunit ribosomal RNA
Source: RNAcentral
CAGCAGCCGCGGUAAUACGUAGGGCGCAAGCGUUGUCCGGAAUUAUUGGGCGUAAAGAGCUCGUAGGCGGUUUGUCGCGUCUGGUGUGAAAACCUCAGGCUCAACCUGGGGCGUGCAUCGGGUACGGGCAGACUAGAGUGCGGUAGGGGAGACUGGAAUUCCUGGUGUAGCGGUGGAAUGCGCAGAUAUCAGGAGGAACACCGAUGGCGAAGGCAGGUCUCUGGGCCGCAACUGACGCUGAGGAGCGAAAGCAUGGGGAGCGAACAGGAUUAGAUACCCCAGUAGUCCCUGUCUCUUAUAC